RNAcentral lists this transfer RNA (79 nucleotides) under Cordylochernes scorpioides. Its description in RNAcentral is "tRNA-Thr". The record is from RNAcentral. Lineage: Eukaryota; Metazoa; Arthropoda; Arachnida; Pseudoscorpiones; Chernetidae.
UGUCCAGGGAUGGGAAUCGAACCCACAAUGUUCCGCUUACCGGGCAGAUGCCAUGUCCACUAUGUUCCCAUCCCUGGAC